AUGGCUCUACUGAUUCACCUAUUGGCAAAAAAAACAGCUUUACAACACCAGCUUUACAACACCAGCUUUACAAUACCAGCUUUACAAUACCAGCUUUACAACACCAGCUUUACAACAUCAACUUUACAACACCAGCUUUACAACGCCAGCUUUACAACACCAGCUUUACAAUACCAGCUUUACAACAUCCACUUACAACAUCCACUUUACAACACCAGCUUUACAACAUCCACUUUACAACAUCCACUUUACAACACUGACUUUACAAUACCAGCUUUACAAUACCAGCUUUACAAUACCAGCUUUACAAUACCAGCUUUACAACAUCCACUUUACAACACCAGCUUUACAAUACAAGCUUUACAACAUCCACUUUACAACAUCCACUUUACAACACCGACUUUACAAUAUCAGCUUUACAAUACCAGCUUUACAAUACCAGCUUUACAAUACCAGCUUUACAACAUCCACUUUACAACACCAGCUUUACAAUGCCAGCUUUACAACAUCCACUUUACAACACCAACUUUACAAUACCGGCUUUACAACACCAGCUUUACAAUACCAGCUUUACAAUACCAGCUUUACAACAUCCACUUUACAACACCAGCUUUACAAUACCAGCUUUACAACACCUGCUUUACAAUACCAGCUUUACAACACCAGCUUUACAAUACCAGCUUUACAACACCAGCUUUACAACACCAGCUUUACAAUACCAGCUUUACAAUACCAGCUUUACAACAUCAGCUUUACAAUACCAGCUUUAUAACACCAGCUUUACAACAUCAGCUUUACAAUACCAGCUUUACAAUACCAGCUUUACAAUACAACACCAGCUUUACAAUAUCAGCUUUACAAUACAACACCAGCUUUACAACAUCAGCUUUACAAUACCAGCUUUACAAUACCAGCUUUACAAUACCAGCUUUACAAUACCAGCUUUACAACACCAGCUUUACAAUACCAGCUUUACAACACCAGCUUUACAAUAACAGCUUUACGAUACCAGCUUUACAACACCAGCUUUACAAUACCAGCUUUACAACACCAGCUUUACAACACCAGCUUUACAACAUCCACUUUACAACAUCAGCUUUACAACAUCAGCUUUACAAUACCAGCUUUACAACAUCCACUUUACAACACCAGCUUUACAACAUCAGCUUUACAAUACCAGCUUUACAAUACCAGCUUUACAAUACCAGCUUUACAAUACCAGCUUUACAACACCAGCUUUACAACACCAGCUUUACAAUACCAGCUUUACAACAUCCGCUUCACACUACCAACUUUACAACAUCCGCUUCACACUACCAGCUUUACAAUACAAGCUUUACAACACCAACUUUACAAUACCAGCUUUACAAUACCAGCUUUACAAUAUCAGCUUUACAAUACCAGCUUUACAAUACCAGCUUUACAAUAUCAGCUUUACAAUACCAGCUUUACAAUACCAGCUUUACAAUACCAGCUUUACAAUACCAACUUUACAAUACCAGCUUUACAAUACCAGCUUUACAAUACCAGCUUUACAAUACCAGCUUUACAAUACCAGCUUUACAACACCAGCUUUACAAUACCAGCUUUACAAUACCAGCUUUACAACAGCAGCUUUACAAUAUCAGCUUUACAAUACCAGCUUUACAACACCAGCUUUACAAUACCAGCUUUACAAUACCAGCUUUACAAUACCAGCUUUACAAUACCAGCUUUACAACACCAGCUUUACAAUACCAGCUUUACAACACCAGCUUUACAACACCAGCUUUACAACACAACACCAGCUUUACAAUACCAGCUUUACAACACCAGCUUUACAACAUUCUCCCCCUUCUUUUCCCUCCCGGAACUUCUCAGUGA
Molecule: long non-coding RNA, 1863 nt
Organism: Oncorhynchus mykiss (rainbow trout)
Lineage: Eukaryota; Metazoa; Chordata; Actinopteri; Salmoniformes; Salmonidae
Source: Ensembl